GAUGAACGCUGGCGGUAUGCUUAACACAUGCAAGUCGAACGGGAUAUCUUCGGAUAUUUAGUGGCGGACGGGUGAGUAACGCGUGAGAACAUGCCCUUAGGUUCGGGACAACAGUUGGAAACGACUGCUAAUACCGAAUGUGCCGAGAGGUGAAAGAUUAAUUGCCUAGGGAUUGGCUCGCGUCAGAUUAGCUAGUUGGUAGAGUAACGGUUUACCAAGGCGACGAUCUGAACUGGUCUGAGAGGAUGACCAGUCACACUGGGACUGAGACACGGCCCAGACUCCUACGGGAGGGCAGCAGUGGGGAAGUUUUCCGCAAUGGGCGAAAAGCCUGACGGAGCAAUACCGCGUGAGGGAGGACGGCUCUUGGUUGU
RNAcentral lists this ribosomal RNA (374 nucleotides) under uncultured bacterium. RNAcentral describes it as "bacterial SSU rRNA". It matches the Rfam family "Bacterial small subunit ribosomal RNA", at positions 28 to 426 of the family's 1533-position model. The record is from RNAcentral.